Long non-coding RNA from Bos taurus (domestic cattle), 1477 nucleotides. Lineage: Eukaryota; Metazoa; Chordata; Mammalia; Artiodactyla; Bovidae. The record is from Ensembl.
GUUUGGGACUCUUUUAAACUCUUAAUUGAACUAUCAUUCUACUUCCUGUCUCUCCCUCCAGUCCUGCCACAUUUAUAUACAUCUUUCAUUUGUCUCCAUGGUGAUGCAUCUAAGAUGUAAAUGUGACUGUCAUUCCCCUGAAUAAGGCAAUGGUUUCCUAUUACUUCCACUAUGCACUCUAACCUGGAUCCUGCCUGCUCUGUUCUUACCUCUCACCACUUUGGACGCAGCUACUAAAGUUCCAGGAAGAUUAAACAACAUGUGGUUCAGUCUCUGAAACAUAUUUCUUCCUACUCUAUUCCGUAUGGCUCAUGCUAUUUUCUCUGCCUAGUAUACCUUUCCACCACUUCUUCCCUAACUUUGACGAAACCUGCUUGAGUGUCAUCUUUCCCAGGGGGUGUCUCAGAAGAGUGCAUGACAAAUAACAUUCCAUAUGUGCAGUUAAAACUAUCUGCAAUACGGAUAAGUGACAGAUAAGUGAAGCACCCUGGCUAUAAGUGAUUAAUACCAACACACUGGAACCACCUCUUCAAUGACCUACAUGAUGGAUAAAGUCAUACACAGAAAAGGCAUGAGCUGGUUUGCUUGUGUGACCCAAAGAAGUUGCACUGAUUUCCACCCUCCUGGGUAAAAUGCUUACAGUUCACUCACUAUACAAGUUUACUUGGAGGUUUGUGCCCACAACUGAUGGUUACCUGCCUAUGAAUUCUUCAAACCAGAAUCCAGUACACUUCACUUCCCUCCCUCCCUUUCCUUACCAGGGUGCUAUUACUGAACUGAUACAAACUAUCACUUUUUUAACACUGGAUGAAGAAAAGGAACUUCCCAAAGCACCUUACAGUAUGUCCAAAACCAAACACGAAUGAGUUGGCUGUGCUUUGGGAUUAUCUGAUUCCCUGGUGGCUCAGAGGAUAAAGCAUCUGCCUGCAGUGCAGGAGACCCGGGUUCGAUCCCUGGGUUGGGACGAUCCCCUGGAGAAAGAAAUGGCAACCCACUCCAGUAUUCUUGCCUGGAGAAUCCCAUGGACAGAGAAGCCUGGCAGGCUACAGUCCACAGGGUCGCAGAGUUGGACACGACUGAGAGACUUCACUCACUUUCCAAAUGCACAGAUAUUUGAGAGGGAUGCUGCACAGUCACCAUUGGCAUGGCUUCUAUAAUCAUGCUUGUUUUCCCUUAAGACAGAGGUCUCCGAACUGCAGGCAUGGACUGGUACCUCCUGUCAGAUCAGUGGUGGCAUUAGAUAGAAAUAAAGUGCACAGUAAGUGUCAUGUGCUUGAAUCAGCCUGAAACCAUCCUCCUCACCCUUGGUCCGUGGAAAAAUUAUCUUCAUGUAAUUGGUCCCUGAUGUCAAAAAAAGUGGUGAACCUCUGCCUUAGGACAUACACAAAUACUCAAUAUACAUCAUUUUUAUCAGACCUGCUCCCAUGCAUACAGUAGACAUCUGAGUAAUUAGACAGGAUAACACACUGUGUAAGUU